Long non-coding RNA from Solanum stenotomum, 2845 nucleotides. RefSeq lists it as uncharacterized. Lineage: Eukaryota; Viridiplantae; Streptophyta; Magnoliopsida; Solanales; Solanaceae. The record is from RefSeq and is a predicted model, not a curated record. The transcript has 2 exons.
UGAAGCUAUGCAAUUGUUCAAUAAGCAUGCUUUUAAAAAUGAAGUUCCAGAUGAGCGUUUUAAGAAGUUCUCAUUAGAGGUAGUAAAUCACGCUAAAGGCCUUCCUUUAGCCCUCAAGGUAUGGGGUUCUUUGUUGUAUAAAAAAUGCCUAACUCAAUGGACAAGCACGGUAGAUCAAAUAAAGAAAAACUCUAGUUUAGAAAUUGUUAAAAAGUUCAAAGUAAGUUAUGAUGGGUUAGAGCUUGAAGAGCAAAAUUUAUUUUUAGAUAUAGCAUUUCUCUUAAGAGGGAAGAAAAAAAACUAGUCAUGCAAAUCCUUGAGAGUUGUGAUUUUGGAGCGGAGCACGGAUUGAAUGUCCUAAUUGACAAAUCUCUUGUGUUCGUCUCCAAAAAUAAUAUGAUUAAAAUGCAUGACUUAAUUCAAGAUAUGGGUAGGUAUGUGGUUAGAAUGCAAAAAGAUUCAGGAGAGCAGAGCAGACUAUCAGAUGUUGAAGAUAUCGAAAAAGUGAUGGUCAACAAUACUUAUUUGCCGUCUCUGUGAAAGCUAAAUCUCAGCUACUCCGAAAGGCUGAUGCAAACACCAGAUUUCACGGGAAUGCCAAAGUUGGAGUAUUUGGAUCUGUCGAACUGUAGUAAUCUUGAAGAGGUUCCACGUUCCUUGGGAUGUUUGAGAAUUGGUUAAAUUUGUAUCAUUGUGAAUGUCUUAAGAGUUUUCCAUGUGUUAAUGUGGAACCUCUUAGAUUUCUGGAUCUACGAUAUUGCUCUAGUUUAGAAAAAUUUCCAGAAAUCCUCGGAAGAAUGAAGCCAUAGUUAGAGAUCAAGAUGAGCUGCUCUGGACUAAGUGAAAUACCAUCAUCUAUUAUCGAGCAACGCACGCUAAAGAUGAGUUCUAUGCAAAACCUUGUUUGUCUUCCAAGCAGCAUUUGUAAGUUGAAAGGUUUGGUGAAGCUAAAUUUGUGGGCGUGCUCAAAACUUGAAAGUUUGCCAGAAGAGCUAGGUGAGAAAAAUUGGAGAAGCUUGAUGCCAACUUUACUCUAAUCUCACAACCUCCGUCUUCCAUUGUCCGGUUGAACAAGCUAAAAAUGCUGACUUUUGCAAAGCAAAAAUCAGAAGCUAGAGUGUACAUUGUGUUCCCUCGGGUGAAUGAAGGGUUAUUCUCAUUGAAGCAUCUGGAUCUUAGUGACUGCAAUUUAAUAGAUGGAGGACUUCCAGAAGACGUUGGAUCCUUAUCCUCUUUGGAAAUGUUGAAUCUCAGUGGUAAUAAUUUUGAGCAUUUUCCUCGAAGCAUAGUCCAACUUGGUGCUCUUCAAUACUUGGACUUAUCAUAUUGCAAGAGGCUCAAAGAGUUGCCAGGUUUCAUGGGGAUGCAAAACUUGGAGACUUUGGAUCUCUCUCACUGCAAUUUAAUAGAUGGAGGACUUGUCGAAGACAUUGGAUGCUUAUACUCUUUGAAAGUGUUGGAUCUCAGUGGAAAUAAUUUUUAGCAUUUGCCUCAAAGGAUAGCCCAGCUUGGUGCUCUUCAAAACUUGGACUUAUCAGAUUGCAAGAGGCUUACACAGCUUCCAGAAUUUCCACAGCAAUUAGAUACAAUACGUGAAGAUUGGAGUAAUCAUUUGAUUUGUAAUUCGUUGUUUCAGAAUAUAUCAUCAUUGCAGAAUGACAUCUCUGAUUCACAUUCCUUGUCACUAAGAGUGUUUACGAGUUGCGGGAAUAAUAUCCCAAGUUGGUUCCACCAUCAAGGAAUGGAUACAAGGGUAUCGAUCAGUCAAUUUGCCUGAGAAUUGGUAUGUAUCGGAUAACUUCUUGGGAUUUGCUGUAUGUUACUCUGGCAAAUUAAUUGACAUCAGAGCUCAGUUGAUUCCCUUAUGUGUUGAUGGGAAGUUGUCGAUGCCCCAAAAACUUGCCUUAUCUAACCAUUCAGAGGGUCUUCAAGAAUCUAAGAUACAUUUUUUCUUGGUACCUAUUGCCUGCUUGUGAUGCAUCUAAUGCGAAUGGUAAAUCACCAAAUGACUCUGAGAUUAUUAGUUUUAUUUUUUUGGAGAAAUGAAGCUUUUUGGACUUCGAUUGUUGUAUAAAAAUGCAUCUGAGCUUCACAUUGGGAUAAGGAGGAUCAGAUAUGAACAUCAUGAAGAGACCACCAGUUGCUCUUAUAAGAAACAAAGGUCACAAGAAGUGCCAGUCUCUUCAAAAACACAAGCCCGGGAUUUUAGAUUUAAUGUACGUAUACACCUCAUGAAAUUGUGUUCUCUCUUUAUAUAUAAAUUAUUUCUUCCCCUAUUGGCAGGAGGUCAUCAAUGUGUGUUGUACAUAUCAAUAGUGAGUUUGAUUCUCCACCUUGUGUCGAGCCAUCAUUAAUCAGACAUUCUCUGUCUUUGCUGUGUUAUAUUUUCCCAAGAUAGUGACUGAUCCAUGGUGAAGUUGAGGUUCAAAAUUUCUUUUGGACUAGAAUACCUAGCUAGUUUAAUAAUGAAAUGAAUCCACAGUUUUGCUUUUGCUGACCAAUUGCAGAUGAAUGUGCUCAAAGCAAGAAACCUUUGCCAAAAUGGAUGGGUGAAAGAAGGCGUUGGAACUUUUAGCAAGCGGACUAAAGGGGAUCUAAAUGUAGUCUCUAUUGAUGUCUACUGUCAAAUGUACACACACUGUUUGAUUUUUUUUAUCAAACAGUUGUGCGACAUAAUAGAGAUUUAGAAUUAAAGUUUGCAAAUGAGAUUAUUUGUUAGUAUUUCCUUUGUUCAAAUUGGUCAAUCGGAAUCUAAACUUCUUUGGCAUUCUGUGUCAUAUCAUAUUUGAGUGUUCUGCCAAAAGUGGCAUACUUCUCAACUUAAUAUGUACCAUCAUUCCUUCAA